CCAAACUGUCGAAAGCACCGCUGGAAAUAUGAAUCAACUAGGAUUCGAACUUGAGUCUCGGGUACCAACCACUAAGCCCUUUGCCACUUGCACUAGGAAUGGUCGGUUAACUUCUUUCUUCUUUAUACUUUCAAAAGCAUAAUAGCUCUACUCUGUAUAGUUGACAUUCAUGAUUAUUUUAAAUUUAUAUUCUCGCUAACUCCUAAUUGAUUUUGAAUUUAAAUUUUUAUAUUUCAAAAUUUUAAGUUUCAGAUUUUAAAUUUUAAAAUGUCAAAAAUAUGAAUUUAGAUUUCAAAGUUAAAAUUUUAUAUUUAAAUUUUAAAAUUAUAAAUUUAAUUAGUUUCAAAUUUUAAAUUUUAAUCGUUAGAUAUCGUGCGGAAUUGUUCGAUGUGUAUCCAAAUAGCUUAAAAGAAUGAAGCGGUGGAAUUUCUAACAGUUACAGAAUUUUCUGUUUUGUUUAAAUUAAAUUUACAUAAUACUAGUUAAGGGACCCACGCGAUGCUGUGGCUAGUUAUUUUAAAUUUUAAUUUUAAAAAUUAAUUUCAGAAUAAUUAUGGAAUAUUACGGACAAAUUACGAAAUAAUUUUAAAUGGUGCAAUAAGUAUAUAUAUAUGCAUGGCUAAGGAU
Molecule: long non-coding RNA, 627 nt
Filed under: Ananas comosus (pineapple)
Lineage: Eukaryota; Viridiplantae; Streptophyta; Magnoliopsida; Poales; Bromeliaceae
Description: long non-coding RNA (ACOM_LNC015472)
Source: RNAcentral